AGAGACAGCAGCAGCCACGGUAAUACGAAGGGGGCUAGCGUUGUUCGGAAUUACUGGGCGUAAAGCGCACGUAGGCGGAUAUUUAAGUCAGGGGUGAAAUCCCGCAGCUCAACUGCGGAACUGCCUUUGAUACUGGGUAUCUUGAGUAUGGAAGAGGUUAGUGGAAUUGCGAGUGUAGAGGUGAAAUUCGUAGAUAUUCGCAGGAACACCAGUGGCGAAGGCGGCUAACUGGUCCAUAACUGACGCUGAGGUGCGAAAGCGUGGGGAGCAAACAGGAUUAGAUACCCGAGUAGUCCCUGUCUCUUAUAC
This 309-nucleotide ribosomal RNA is filed under the name uncultured bacterium. RNAcentral describes it as "partial 16S ribosomal RNA". It matches the Rfam family "Bacterial small subunit ribosomal RNA", at positions 504 to 807 of the family's 1533-position model. The record is from RNAcentral.